Molecule: microRNA precursor, 182 nt
Organism: Arabidopsis thaliana (thale cress)
Lineage: Eukaryota; Viridiplantae; Streptophyta; Magnoliopsida; Brassicales; Brassicaceae
Rfam family: MIR5635 microRNA precursor family
Source: Rfam
AUCGUUGACCCGGCCAAAUCGACUCACCAUUAACACUUCUUAACAGCUCUCCUAACAGCGUAACUAACAACUGUUUUUGUCCUUAAACCAACAAUAACGGCUGUUAGGCCAUGUUUUGUAACGGCUGUUAGGAACGCUGUUAAGGAGUGUUAACGGUGAGUAUAUUUGGCCGGGUCAACGAC